Molecule: ribosomal RNA, 1914 nt
Filed under: Triticum aestivum (bread wheat)
Lineage: Eukaryota; Viridiplantae; Streptophyta; Magnoliopsida; Poales; Poaceae
Description: partial small subunit ribosomal RNA
Source: RNAcentral
AUGACACAGGAAAACCACUUGGCAAUGAAAAGCUCGGGGCACCUGUUCAAUGAGUGGGAGAUCCGGCUAUUGGUGCUUCUUAGCUUCACAAUGCAGCUUUUUCUUUUCUUUGUUGGUGGCCUCCGGCGGCGUAUCACUAACAGCGCCCUCAGAUUUUCAAUCUGGCUAGCUUAUGUGGGAGCAGACAUGGUAGCUGUUUAUGUCCUAGGCCUCAUCUCUCGCGUGCACCUGGAUGCCACCACGGAAAAUCAUCAUCACCUGGCUUUUCUUUGGGCACCCUUCCUCCUCAUACAUCUCGGCGGACAAGAUACCGUCACUGCUUUCGCCAUUGAGGACAUCAGCCUCUGGCUGAGGCACUUGUUGAACCUUGUUGUCCAAGUCUCCCUCACCCUGUACAUCUUUUGGAAAUCGACCAAUGGUCUGAAUAUACAGGAGCUUCUUCUUCUUCCAACCAUCCUCCUGUUUGUUUCGGGAAUGAUCAAGUAUGGGGAGAGGACAUGGGCUUUGUGUUGUGGCAGCCUCAUAAACAUCGCAGAGUUCCCUAUCCCACAAUAUCUGACAGAUUUAGACAAGAUCCAUGUGGGUUCUACUACUUCUUCCUAUUCUGGCCUUGUUUCCAAGGCUUUGUUUUCCAUAAAAGAGGUCCGUUGGAUUUUUUCUAGUUACAGUCCUUUGGGAACAGAUCUCAGCAUGAAUUCAGAUCUACUACUUCCAGACUAUGCAGGCAAGUUAUUUGAGACCAUGGAGAUUGAACUCGGGCUGAUGUUCGACGACAUCUAUACCAAGGCGCAGGUGCUUCGAACAUGGGGUGGCAUCAUACUUCGGUGUCUCUCAGAUAUUUCCUUCUUAGCUGCUUUUGUGCUCUUCUCUGUAAGAAACAAGGAGAGAUACAAUACCGUUGACACUGCAAUCACCUAUGUACUGUUUAUCGGCGGUUUCUCUCUGGAGGUUUUUGCGGUAUUUACCGCCAUGGUGUCACCAUGGAUUUGGGCAUGGCUAAAGACGCGGCACUGCAGCUUCCUUUCCUCCAUCAGCAUUAGCUGGCAGAGGAAGAGGGUGCUGUGGUCAAAAUCCAUGGGUCAGUACAGCCUGUUGAACUACCUGGGACAGUGCGACCAGCAGUCAAGUAAAGUGAUGGCGGUGGUCAGAAGAUUGGUGAAUGCAGUUUGCGGGCGAAAGCAGAAGCUCUGGGUCAGUAAGCUGUUGGACACCAAGUUCGUGGAGGUCGACGAGAAGGUCAUGAGAUGCAUUGUGGAGAGGAUCAAGCAGUAUCAGUCUACAGAUGAAUCGAGCAUGCUCCCACAAUGGCCAAAUCUUGCUCCACUGCUUCAAAGGUCACUGCGGGUUCCCGAGGCGGAUUUUCAUUUCCCGGUUCUCGUCCUCCAUAUAUACACGGAGGUAAUGCUGAGCAGGUAUGCUCCCACCGCUACUCCGGAUGGUGGUUUGGACCGCGUGUGCCGGACGAUAUCCAACUACAUGGUUUACCUUUGUGCCACGCACCAUGAAAUGCUGUCGGUCCAAAACAGUUCCAACCAAAGUGACCUAGCAUACAUCCUUCACAGAUUGUUUAGCGUGGGGACUAAUGCUGACAUCAGUAACAUCAUGCCUAAGGCGGUUGGGUUCUUGAUCGAUUGCCGUUUUCCGGUGCCCCCGAAGGUGUGUACAGAAGCACAUCUGUUGGAAAUCCGAGAUGCAUGGGUAGGGUUCCUCCUCCAUGCCGCCAGCAAGUCACGGCCGGAGAUGCAUGCGGCGCAGCUGGCCAGAGGAGGGGAGUUCCUCACCUUCGUUUGGCUGCUCAUGGCCCACUGCAAUCUCGGGAACUCUAGGGGCUGCCCAAUCGGGUUGCUACCUAUAAGUGGUGAUGUUCAGUGGCGCUGUGUCUUCCAUAUUCGCCCUCCACCACAAUCCUCAUAG